AGAGUUUGAUCCUGGCUCAGGACGAACGCUGGCGGUGUGCUUCACACAUGCAAGUCGAGCGAAUGAAGAAGGUAGCUUGCUACUUUUGGAUUUAGCGGCGGACGGGUGAGUAAUAUAUAGGAAUCUGCCCUAGAGCGGGGAACAACAGACCGAAAGGUUUGCUAAUGCCCCAUAGGUACGCAGUCUUCGGAUUGUUUAUUAAAGGAGUAAUCCACUCUAGGAUGAGCCUGUAUCCGAUUAGCUAGUUGGCGGGGUAAAGGCCCACCAAGGCUACGAUCGGUAGUUGGUCUGAGAGGAUGAUCAGCCACAAUGGGACUGAGACACGGCCCAUACUCCUACGGGAGGCAGCAGUGGGGAAUUUUACACAAUGGGGGAAACCCUGAUGUAGCGACACCGCGUGAACGAAGAAGCCUUUUGGGGUGUAAAGUUCUGUCGGCUGGAACGAAAAAAAUGACGGUACCAGCAAAGGAAGCAUCGGCUAACUACGCGCCAGCAGCCGCGGUAAGACGUAGGAUGCAAGCGUUGUCCGGAUUUAUUGGGCGUAAAGAGUUCGUAGGCGGUUAUUUAAGUCUGGUGUUAAAUACUGUGGCCCAACCACAGAACUGCAUUGGAUACUGGAUGACUUGAGUGCGGUAGAGGCGAGUGGAAUUCCCAGUGUAGCGGUGAAAUGCGUAGA
RNAcentral lists this ribosomal RNA (676 nucleotides) under uncultured bacterium. RNAcentral's name for it is "bacterial SSU rRNA". It matches the Rfam family "Bacterial small subunit ribosomal RNA", at positions 8 to 694 of the family's 1533-position model. The record is from RNAcentral.